UGGCUCUCGCAUCGAUGAAGAACGCAGCAAAGCGCGAAAUGUAGUGUGAAUUGCAGAAUUCAGUGAAUCAUCGAAUCUUUGAACGCACCUUGCGCUCUUGGGUUAUUCCUGAGAGCAUGUUUGUUUGAGUAACGGAAAACUCUCAAUCCCACCUUAUUCUUAAUUGAAAAAGGUUGUGUCAUGUCAUUGCUUUUGAGCGAUGGACUACUUAGGACUGGAUUGUGAAAGCUGUGCAGUUGGAUUAACUUUUGACUGCUCUUUCGAAAUGCACAAAGCUGAAACCGUGAGCUUGUUUAUGGAUUUGUUGCGAGCCUUUGCGCUCAAGCUGUUGUUGUAUAACUUCGGUCUCAAUAGCGAUGACAACGAAACCUUAGCUCAAUGUGUCUAAAGUAGGCUUCAAAAACCAAACUCUAUUUUCCUCGUUCUCAAAUCAAGCAGGACUACCCGCUGA
RNAcentral lists this unclassified non-coding RNA (451 nucleotides) under uncultured fungus. RNAcentral's name for it is "partial contains 5.8S ribosomal RNA and internal transcribed spacer 2". The stretch from base 1 to 134 matches the Rfam family "5.8S ribosomal RNA", at positions 22 to 154 of the family's 154-position model. The record is from RNAcentral. Lineage: Eukaryota; Fungi.